GACAAAGGGUGCAAACGUUGUUCGGAAUUACUGGGCGUAAAGAGCUCGUAGGCGGUUUGUUGCGUCGGCUGUGAAAUCCCGAGGCUCAACCUCGGGUCUGCAGUCGAUACGAGCAAACUAGAGUGUUGCAGGGGAGACUGGAAUUCCUGGUGUAGCGGUGAAAUGCGCAGAUAUCAGGAGGAACACCGGUGGCGAAGGCGGGUCUCUGGGCAACAACUGACGCUGAGGAGCGAAAGCGUGGGGAGCGAACAGG
RNAcentral lists this ribosomal RNA (253 nucleotides) under uncultured bacterium. Its description in RNAcentral is "partial 16S ribosomal RNA". It matches the Rfam family "Bacterial small subunit ribosomal RNA", at positions 524 to 776 of the family's 1533-position model. The record is from RNAcentral.